Molecule: transfer RNA, 69 nt
Filed under: Bifidoprionus rufus
Lineage: Eukaryota; Metazoa; Arthropoda; Insecta; Coleoptera; Cerambycidae
Description: tRNA-Lys
Source: RNAcentral
CAUUAGAUGGCCGAAAGUAAGCAAUGGAAUUUUAAACCAUAAUAUAGUAGCGACCACCUACUUCUAAUG